AUUGAACGCUGGCGGCAGGCCUAACACAUGCAAGUCGAACGGUUGCAGGGAUCUUGCUCCUGGCUUCAGCGGCGGACGGGUGUGUUAUGCCUAGAAAUCUGCCUGCUAGUGGGGGAUAACGUCCGGAAACGGGCGCUAAUACCGCACACGCUCUGGAGGAGAACGUGGGGUAUCUUCGCCCCUCACGCUAUCAGAUGAGCCUAGGUCGGAUUAGCUAGUUGGUGGGGUAAAGGCCUACCAAGGCGACGAUCCGUAACUGGUCUGAGAGGAUGAUCAGUCACACUGGAACUGAGACACGGCCCAGACUCCUACGGGAGGCAGCAGUGGGGAAUAUUGGACAAUGGGCGAAAGCCUGAUCCAGCCAUGCCGCGUGUGUGAAGAAGGUCUUCGGAUUGUAAAGCACUUUAGGUCGGAAGGAAAGGCAGUAAGUUAAUACCGUGGUGUUAUGACGUUACCAAAAGAAUAAGCACCGGCUAACUACGUG
Molecule: ribosomal RNA, 484 nt
Filed under: uncultured bacterium
Lineage: Bacteria
Description: partial 16S ribosomal RNA
Rfam family: Bacterial small subunit ribosomal RNA
Source: RNAcentral